RNAcentral lists this ribosomal RNA (172 nucleotides) under uncultured bacterium. RNAcentral describes it as "partial 16S ribosomal RNA". It matches the Rfam family "Bacterial small subunit ribosomal RNA", at positions 335 to 524 of the family's 1533-position model. The record is from RNAcentral.
ACUCCUACGGGAGGCAGCAGUGGGGAAUAUUGGACAAUGGGCGCAAGCCUGAUCCAGCAAUGCCGCGUGGGUGAAGAAGGUCUUCGGAUCGUAAAGCCCUUUCGACAGGGACGAUGAUGACGGUACCUGUAGAAGAAGCCCCGGCUAACUUCGUGCCAGCAGCCGCGGUAAU